RNAcentral lists this ribosomal RNA (412 nucleotides) under uncultured microorganism. RNAcentral's name for it is "bacterial SSU rRNA". It matches the Rfam family "Archaeal small subunit ribosomal RNA", at positions 330 to 744 of the family's 1478-position model. The record is from RNAcentral.
GUGCAGCAGUCGCGAAAACUUCACACUGUGCGAAAGCACGAUGAGGGAAUCCCAAGUGCUUGCACGUAAGUGUAAGCUGUUUCUCUGUUUAAAACGCAGAGAGAGUAAGGGCUGGGUAAGACGGGUGCCAGCCGCCGCGGUAAUACCUGCAGCUCAAGUGGUGACCGUUAUUAUUGGGCCUAAAACGUCCGUAGCCGGUUUAAUAAAUGCCUGGGUAAAUCGUGUAGCUUAACUAUACGAAUUCCGGGUAGACUGUUAAACUCGAGACCGGGAGAAGUUAGAGGUACUCCUGGGGUAGAGGUGAAAUUCUGUAAUCCUAGGGGGACCACCAGUGGCGAAGGCGUCUAACUAGAACGGGUCUGAUGGUGAGGGACGAAGCCCUGGGGCGCAAACGGGAUUAGAUACCGCGUAG